UGGGGAAUUUUGCACAAUGGGGGAAACCCUGAUGCAGCGACGCCGCGUGAUUUAGAAGGCCUUCGGGUUGUAAAAAUCUUUUCUAUGGGAAGAAAAUGACAGUACCAUAGGAAUAAGGACCGGCUAAUUACGUGCCAGCAGCCGCGGUAAUACGUAAGGUCCGAGCGUUGUCUGGAAUCAUUGGGCGUAAAGGCUACGUAGGCGGGUAAGCAAGUUAGAAGUGAAAUCCUAUAGCUCAACUAUAGUAAGCUUUUAAAACUGCUCAUCUUGAGGUAUGGAAGGGAAAGUGGAAUUCCUAGUGUAGCGGUGAAAUGCGCAGAUAUUAGGAGGAAUACCGGUGGCGAAGGCGACUUUCUGGCCAUAACCUGACGCUGAGGUACGAAAGCGUGGGUAGCAAACAGG
RNAcentral lists this ribosomal RNA (402 nucleotides) under bacterium. Its description in RNAcentral is "partial 16S ribosomal RNA". It matches the Rfam family "Bacterial small subunit ribosomal RNA", at positions 355 to 776 of the family's 1533-position model. The record is from RNAcentral.